Long non-coding RNA from Dioscorea cayenensis subsp. rotundata (Guinea yam), 380 nucleotides. RefSeq lists it as uncharacterized. The record is from RefSeq and is a predicted model, not a curated record. The transcript is spliced from 3 exons. NCBI's taxonomy places the organism in Eukaryota, Viridiplantae, Streptophyta, Magnoliopsida, Dioscoreales, Dioscoreaceae.
UCCUUCGAGAUCCCCAAAGUUUGAGUCUUUUUCUGGUUUAAUCCUUGAAAGGAGGAGAAAGAUGAAUCCUUUGAGCAAGAAGAUCUAUCUCUACAAUGUCACCAUGGGGCUUUUACAUGCUGGAUUGGUGGGAGCGCUAUCUUUUCAAUAUAUUGAUAUUGGUUUUGCUUUGGUUUAUCUGCUACAAUGGCUGCAGAUUUGUUACUCAGAUCUACAACAGCAAUUUUUCUGCAGAGUUCAUGGUUGGCAAAAAGUUCAGCACUGCCGGAUUUGUACCAACCUAAUCUAUUAAACGAUCAAGCAUUAGCGAUAGUAAAGAUGGCUGUCGAUGAGGUCAUAUCGGUUAUGCUUGUUUAACUUUACAGAAUUAAUGUACAGUA